CCUACGGGUGGCAGCAGUAAGGAAUAUUGGUCAAUGGACGAAAGUCUGAACCAGCCAUGCCGCGUGAAGGAUUAAGGUCCUCUGGAUUGUAAACUUCUUUUAUCUGGGACGAAAAAAGGCGAUUCUUCGCCACUUGACGGUACCAGAUGAAUAAGCACCGGCUAACUCCGUGCCAGCAGCCGCGGUAAUACGGAGGGUGCAAGCGUUAUCCGGAUUCACUGGGUUUAAAGGGUGCGUAGGCGGGCAGGUAAGUCAGUGGUGAAAUCCUAGAGCUUAACUCUAGAACUGCCAUUGAUACUAUCUGUCUUGAAUAUUGUGGAGGUUAGCGGAAUAUGUCAUGUAGCGGUGAAAUGCUUAGAUAUGACAUAGAACACCUAUUGCGAAGGCAGCUAACUACGCAUAUAUUGACGCUGAGGCACGAAAGCGUGGGGAUCAAACAGGAUUAGAUACCCCUGUAGUC
RNAcentral lists this ribosomal RNA (460 nucleotides) under uncultured bacterium. RNAcentral's name for it is "bacterial SSU rRNA". It matches the Rfam family "Bacterial small subunit ribosomal RNA", at positions 338 to 795 of the family's 1533-position model. The record is from RNAcentral.